Molecule: ribosomal RNA, 454 nt
Filed under: uncultured bacterium
Lineage: Bacteria
Description: bacterial SSU rRNA
Rfam family: Bacterial small subunit ribosomal RNA
Source: RNAcentral
UACGGAAGGCAGCAGUGGGGAAUAUUGCACAAUGGGCGCAAGCCUGAUGCAGCCAUGCCGCGUGUAUGAAGAAGGCCUUCGGGUUGUAAAGUACUUUCAGUCGUGAGGAAGGUGUUAAGGUUAAUAACCUUAGCAAUUGACGUUAGCGACAGAAGAAGCACCGGCUAACUCCGUGCCAGCAGCCGCGGUAAUACGGAGGGUGCGAGCGUUAAUCGGAAUUACUGGGCGUAAAGGGCACGCAGGCGGUUAAUUAAGUUGGAUGUGAAAUCCCCGGGCUUAACCUGGGAAUGGCAUUCAAGACUGGUUAGCUAGAGUCUUGUAGAGGGGGUAGAAUUCCAUGUGUAGCGGUGGAAAUGCGUAGAGAUGUGGAGGAAUACCGGUGGCGAAGGCGGCCCCUGGGACAAAGACUGACGCUCAUGUGCGAAAGCGUGGGGAGCAAACAGGAUUAGAUACC